This is a non-coding RNA of Operophtera brumata (winter moth), 47 nucleotides long. NCBI's taxonomy places the organism in Eukaryota, Metazoa, Arthropoda, Insecta, Lepidoptera, Geometridae. The record is from Rfam.
UACAAGGCCCUUUUCAGGGCCACUGUCUCUAUCCCUACAAACUGAAU